Molecule: ribosomal RNA, 253 nt
Filed under: uncultured bacterium
Lineage: Bacteria
Description: partial 16S ribosomal RNA
Rfam family: Bacterial small subunit ribosomal RNA
Source: RNAcentral
UACAGAGGGUGCAAACGUUGUUCGGAAUUACUGGGCGUAAAGCGCGUGUAGGCGGCGGCGCAAGUCGGGUGUGAAAGCCCAGGGCUCAACCCUGGAAGUGCACUCGAUACUGCGACGCUAGAGUCCCGGAGAGGUUGGUGGAACUCUCGGUGUAGAGGUGAAAUUCGUAGAUAUCGAGAAGAACACCGGUGGCGAAGGCGGCCAACUGGACGGUGACUGACGCUGAGACGCGAAAGCGUGGGGAGCAAACAGG